GACAACAGAGAUAUUAAGUCACAUUGACCUUCUAGGCCCUUUCCUUUAAAGAAAAUGUGUUUGAUUGAAGAUGUAUUAAGUAAUAGGAAAAGAUCUCUUGCUCACCAGAAUUAAGAGACUAGGAAAAGGCUGGGAGAACUCAUUCUACACUGAACUGGGCGAGGUCUAGGGAGGUGGGUCAGGAUCGGGGAAACAGGUGAUGGGAGUGCUGAGGGGAGGGCUGUUUGUUCUAAGAAAAGGGUAAGACACCUCUUGCCACAGAUGAGGCCUGUGGGAGCCUGACCGGGGUUGGUUUCUGGUUUGGACGCCUCUGUGUGUCUUCCUGGCAGUUCCCAGUUAGUGACCCCCAAAUCUGA
This is a long non-coding RNA of Myotis brandtii (Brandt's bat), 356 nucleotides long. RefSeq lists it as uncharacterized. Lineage: Eukaryota; Metazoa; Chordata; Mammalia; Chiroptera; Vespertilionidae. The transcript has 3 exons. The record is from RefSeq and is a predicted model, not a curated record.